Molecule: long non-coding RNA, 1775 nt
Organism: Zingiber officinale
Lineage: Eukaryota; Viridiplantae; Streptophyta; Magnoliopsida; Zingiberales; Zingiberaceae
Exons: 5
Source: RefSeq, a predicted model, not a curated record
CAUUCCCCCCAAAUUUUGGUCGAUUUCUUCACCUACUUCACGUUUUUUUUCUCCUUUCCUCUCCAAGCCCUAAACCUGCCUCCCCUUCUCCUUUCCUCUCCAAGCCCUAAACCCAUCGCCCCUUCACGACUCGUAGCGAACCAGUCGCAGGGAGGGAGAGAGAUGGGCAACAGAGGCCACAAGCAUAGGAGCAACCAAGGAGGAUUAGCAACGGAGGUCGCAUGAUCCAGAGGACGACUCCAGGAACGAACGGUGUGGCCAAGCAUCAUGGCCAUGGAGGCGCGGUCAUCGCAGCAAUGACGGCAGCGAUGUGAGGUGGGAGGGUUGCAUGGAGUUCGAGGAAGGGUCGGAUGGGGGAUCUGAUGGAGGAGAGAGCCUUGCGACUGCCAUUUCUAUCUGAUGGAGUUCGAGGAAGGGUCGGCGGGCAGCUUCUCUUCUUCCAACCGAACAAGAAUCCCUUCACUAGUACCCUCCCCGCGACUGCCAUUUCUAUCGUAGCCAAGGCCACCACCCGGAGAGAGAACCGUACCGCUCGACAUGAACGCAUCCGCAAGAAGGUAUUCUCUGAUGGGUGUGCUUUCCCAUGCAUGAUUUCCAGUUUCUCUAGCUGACUUAUGAAUUGUUGCUAAUGUACAAAUUUUAGCUAUCUUCUCACCGCGUGAACUAAUGAAUAGAUUCGUAUAAUGAACAGUAGACUAUCAGGGAGAAAUUUGACGGGGAAUAUACCUGCAGAGCUUGCUAGUUUAACUGGCCUAGUCGAAUUAUGGCUUGAUGGAAACGUGCUUAGUGGCCAUAUACCUACUCUCGGUGCAUGCUUAAGUCUCAGAAACAUGUAAUAUAUAAAUAUUGCUGGUUUAUAUAUCAAACACUUAAUCAUUCGCUAGACUUUUUGAAUUGUUUUUUUGCAGUCACCUUGAGAACAAUAAGUUAACUAGUGAUCUAUCAUUUUGGCCUAUCAAAUUUACAAGAACUGUAUGUCCUUUCUUGCCAUUAUAUUGUCAUUUAACGAACAUCAAUGUUUGCCCAAAUUUGUUCUCUUUUAACGUUUGGCUUUGUCUAGCACCAACUCCAGCAUGAAGUAACUAUUGAGCUUGCAGGUACGUGCAGAAUAAUAUGCUUUCCGGAACAGUACCUGGUCAUCUUCUUGGCAAAAAUAUAGUUUUCACGUGGGUAUUUCUUAUUAGAUUGUGUUGAAUAUCUCUUUAAGUCCUACUUUCCAAUGAAAUUACAAUUAUCAAACUUGGGUAUGCUAUUUUGAGGCGUAUCCCCAAGAAACUUAGACUAUUUUCAAGAGAAGGUAGGUACGACUCAAUACAACUGACUAACUUUUGUCUGAAACAUGUAUAUGAAUUAAAGAUAUUGUUUUUUCAUUUGCAGAUGAUCUUCCACCUCCCCAACCAUUCCAAGAGUUAAGUGCUUCUUUCGGAGGAUUUGCCAUUGAAACAGCACAUAGAUAUUGGUUAUCUGAAAUCAACGAUGCCACAGAAAACUUUGCUAAAAAAGUUGGUUCUGGGGGCUAUGGGAUAGUGUAUUAUGGAAAGUUGAAAAACGGAAAAGACAUUGCCGUCAAAGUUCAAACCAAUGAUUCUUGUCAGGGAAACAGGCAGUUCUCAAGUGAGGUUUCUCUACUUUCAAGAAUACAUCACAGAAAUCUGGUUGAAUUUCUCGGUUACUGCCAGCAAGAAGGCAAAAGCAUUCUUGUAUAUGAGUUUAUGCAUAAUGGAGCACUGAAAGAGCAUCUUCAUGGGAAAAGAUAAUGAUCCCGUACCCAGAAA